UGGCCGUAGAAAUUGCCACGAC
RNAcentral lists this non-coding RNA (22 nucleotides) under Arabidopsis thaliana (thale cress). The record is from RNAcentral. Lineage: Eukaryota; Viridiplantae; Streptophyta; Magnoliopsida; Brassicales; Brassicaceae.